RNAcentral lists this ribosomal RNA (308 nucleotides) under uncultured eukaryote. RNAcentral's name for it is "partial 18S ribosomal RNA". It matches the Rfam family "Eukaryotic small subunit ribosomal RNA", at positions 1470 to 1796 of the family's 1831-position model. The record is from RNAcentral.
CCCUUAGAUGUUCUGGGCCGCACGCGUGCUACACUGAGUGGAUCAGCGGGUCAGGUUGCGCGAAAGCGUUUCCUAAUCUUUAAAUCCGCUCGUGAUGGGGAUUGACGGUUGCAAUUUUCUGUCAUGAACGAGGAAUACCUUGUAAGCGCGGGUCAUCAUCCCGCGCUGAAUACGUCCCUGCCCUUUGUACACACCGCCCGUCGCUCCUACCGAUGAGUCGUCCGGUGAAGUUCGUAGACCUCGUGAUCGCGGAUCACUGGGGGAAGCAAAAUGAACCUCGCGGUUUAGAGGAAGGAGAAGUCGUAACA